GUCUUCUUCUACAGGUUUC
RNAcentral lists this microRNA (19 nucleotides) under Corchorus olitorius. RNAcentral describes it as "cin-miR-4000b-2-". The record is from RNAcentral. Lineage: Eukaryota; Viridiplantae; Streptophyta; Magnoliopsida; Malvales; Malvaceae.